RNAcentral lists this ribosomal RNA (424 nucleotides) under uncultured bacterium. Its description in RNAcentral is "bacterial SSU rRNA". It matches the Rfam family "Bacterial small subunit ribosomal RNA", at positions 1 to 397 of the family's 1533-position model. The record is from RNAcentral.
CCGGUACUCGCGAAUGCCUCUAGAUUAGGACGUUUGGAUCAUGGCUCAGAUCUGAACGCUCGGCGGCCAAGGCCUAACACAUGCAAGUCGAACGGUAGCACAGAGAGCUUGCUCUUGGGUGACGAGUGGCGGACGGGUGAGUAAUGUCUGGGAAACUGCCCGAUGGAGGGGGAUAACUACUGGAAACGGUAGCUAAUACCGCAUAACGUCUUCGGACCAAAGUGGGGGACCUUCGGGCCUCACACCAUCGGAUGUGCCCAGAUGGGAUUAGCUAGUAGGUGGGGUAAUGGCUCACCUAGGCGACGAUCCCUAGCUGGUCUGAGAGGAUGACCAGCCACACUGGAACUGAGACACGGUCCAGACUCCUACGGGAGGCAGCAGUGGGGAAUAUUGCACAAUGGGCGCAAGCCUGAUGCAGCCAUGC